This 1471-nucleotide unclassified non-coding RNA is filed under the name uncultured fungus. Its description in RNAcentral is "sequence contains 18S rRNA gene, ITS1, 5.8S rRNA gene, ITS2, 28S rRNA gene". The stretch from base 495 to 1471 matches the Rfam family "Eukaryotic large subunit ribosomal RNA", at positions 1 to 961 of the family's 3401-position model. Lineage: Eukaryota; Fungi. The record is from RNAcentral.
GGAAGGAUCAUUAACACUAAUCCAACUCAACUCAACGAAGCCUUCAGUUGCCUCAGCAGCGCUUGCCUCGUGCAGUGCCGCUGGUGCAGCAAACACAAACAUAAUUACGCAAAGGAGCCUAACUAAGCUCAACCAUAAAUCCAAAUUCUCAACGAUGGAUAUCUUGGUUCCCAUAACGAUGAAGAACGCAGCGAAGUGCGAUAAGCAAUGCGAAUUGCAGAACCGUGAGUCAUCAGAUUUUUGAACGCAACUGGCGCUGACUGGCUCUCCAGUCAGCAUGCUUGUUUCAGUGUCUCUUUAUCUCAUCACCCAGAUCAUAAUGCGAGAGAUACCCUUCUCUUGCUAAGCAUGAAAGCACUCUGCGCUCUGCGAGCGACUUCGGCUAGUUCGAGGUCGCACUCAAUGCAGCAGUCACAUUGCUCACAAUGUGAACUCAUUGAGAGCUGAGGCAGUGCGGUGCAAACCGCCAGUGCUUAGUCACCCAAACUUUCUUUGCAUCUGAAAUCAAGCAGGAUAACCCGCUGAACUUAAGCAUAUCAUUAAGCGGAGGAGAAGAAAUUAACUAAGAUUGCCCUAGUAACGGCGAGUGAAGCGGCAAGAGCCCAAACUGGAAAUCUUGUACACUACGUGUGCACGAAUUGUAAUCUAAAGGAUGCUUGCUCACCGGGUGGUGGCGCAGAAGUGCCUUCGAACGGGCCGCCAAAGAGGGUGCCAGCCCCGUAUGUGGUGCCACCGCCUAACGAGUGGGUGUUCAAAGAGUCGGGUUGUUUUGUAUUGCAGCCCUAAGUGGGAGAUAAACUUCUUCUAAGGCUAAAUAUAUAUGGGAAACCGAUAGCGAACAAGUACUGUGAAGGAAAGAUGAAAAGAACUUUGAAAAGAGAGUCAAAAGACUUGAAAUCGUUGAGAAGGAAGCGGUAGAAAUUUAUUCUUCGGCGGAGGUCGGUGGUGGUUGCCUAACCAUUGCUGGAGUACAGUACUGCAUAAGGCUGUACCUGGUACCUGGGGAAGCGGCUGUCUUGACCUCUGUCGUGAGGCAAAAUGAGGCCGCGCAACCGCAAAGGCUUCCCACACCUGGUCUGCUUCGGUAGUCAGUGUGGGUGUGCUGGCGGGGGUGCGACCUGAGGAUGCUUUGUGCGAUUUUGCCAAAAUGGUUUUUACCGACCCGUCUUGAAACACGGACCAAGGAGUCUAACAUAUAUGCGAGUGUGCUAGUGGAGAAACUAACACGCGUAAUGAAAGUGAGCGAUGCCAAGUCGCAAGAUGGCAGCAUCGACCGACCAUGAUCCUCUGGAGAAAGGUUUGAGUAAGAGCAUAUCUGUUAGGACCCGAAAGAUGGUGAACUAUGCCUGAGUAGGGUGAAGCCAGGGGAAACUCUGGUGGAGGCUCGUAGCGGUACUGACGUGCAAAUCGUUCGUCAAACUUGGGUAUAGGGGCGAAAGACUAAUCGAACCAUCUAGUAGCUGGUUCCCUC